This 497-nucleotide ribosomal RNA is filed under the name uncultured bacterium. RNAcentral's name for it is "partial 16S ribosomal RNA". It matches the Rfam family "Bacterial small subunit ribosomal RNA", at positions 28 to 507 of the family's 1533-position model. The record is from RNAcentral.
GAUGAACGCUGGCGGCGUGCCUAAUACAUGCAAGUCGAGCGAACGGACGAGAAGCUUGCUUUUCUGAUGUUAGCGGCGGACGGGUGAGUAACACGUGGAUAACCUACCUAUAAGACUGGGAUAACUUCGGGAAACCGGAGCUAAUACCGGAUAAUAUUUUUAACGGCAUGGUUCAAAAGUGAAAUACGUUCUUGCUGUCACUUAUAGAUGGAUCCGCGCUGCUUUAGCUAUUUGGUAAGGUAACGGCUUACCAAGGCAACGAUGCAUAGCCGACCUGAGAGGGUGAUCGGCCACACUGGGACUGAGACACGGUCCAGACUCCUACGGGAGGCAGCAGUAGGGAAUCUUCCGCGAUGGGCGAAAGCCUGACGGAGCAACGCCGCGUGAGUGAUGAAGGUCUUCGGAUCGUAAAACUCUGUUAUUAGGGAAGACCAUAUGUGUAAGUAACUGUGCACAUCUUGACGGUACCUAAUCAGAAAGCCACGGCUAACUACGUG